RNAcentral lists this ribosomal RNA (320 nucleotides) under uncultured Bacillota bacterium. RNAcentral's name for it is "bacterial SSU rRNA". It matches the Rfam family "Bacterial small subunit ribosomal RNA", at positions 28 to 351 of the family's 1533-position model. The record is from RNAcentral. Lineage: Bacteria; Bacillati; Bacillota.
GACGAACGCUGGCGGCGUGCCUAAUACAUGCAAGUCGUGCGGACUUAUCUUCGGAUAAGUUAGCGGCGGACGGGUGAGUAACACGUGGGCAACCUGCCUGUAAGACUGGGAUAACUCCGGGAAACCGGUGCUAAUACCAGAUACAAUCAAAGACUGCCUGGUCUUUGAUGGAAAGGUCUUGUACCGCUUACAGAUGGGCCCGCGGCGCAUUAGCUAGUUGGUGGGGUAAUGGCCUACCAAGGCGACGAUGCGUAGCCGACCUGAGAGGGUGAUCGGCCACACUGGGACUGAGACACGGCCCAGACUCCUACGGGAGGCUG